ACUCAUUAGCCAACAGUGUGUGUUACAAAACUAGAAUAACCUCUGCAAUUAUGCUCAGCCUUUGCUAAACCAGGGAGUAAGAGUUGUACAGAUUAGCAGUUCAGUACCCAAUGAGCUCCACUGAGUGAGUUCAGGGAGUCAUACAGCCUUAUUUGUCUUUAUAAGAGUGAUGCCUAUAGAUAGUCCACUUGUCUUCUGUGUGCUAAAAUGUCCACCGGGAGAAUAAAUAAGGUGAACUCAUGGGGAACUCUGAUUGCAUUCUGUAUUGGAUACACACAGAAAAUGCCACACCAGAACAGACCUACAUAGUCUUGUAUCCAUCCUCUAACAAUAGCCAGUCCCAGGAACAUCCCAGGAAGAAGGCACAAAACCCAUCAUGAUGUGAUAUCAGAGACCCUGCUUUGUGUUUACAAGAGUACCUGACCUUAACAUUUACAACAAGGGGGCAAGAGAAAUGAAAUGUGAAAUGAGAAAUCUCUGCCAAACUUCUGCAGAUUGUGGAGGAAUAUCACUGCUGACAGGGAGGGGAAAAAAAUCUAUCAAGAAGCCCUGAGAUUUUCUACCUCUUCGUUACAACAUGAGUCCCUUACAUCUGCUUUACCUUCGCCUCUUCCCAUUUUUUCCACUGGAUAUACCACCAAAAAGGUACAGGGAUUUGAAGGAGGUGGAGCUCUUUAUAUUAUGCUAUUGUAUCAUGCAAUUUCACUACCCCAUAAAAAUGUUGGAAGAUCACUAAUUGCACGUGGACUUGAACAGCACAACUGACUGGUAAAGAGAUCCAAUUCCAAAGAACCCUCUGAAACAGAAUAUGAUGGAAGCAGUUACUUGACUGAACAGUAGAAAGCUGAGUUAAAUUUAAAAGUUAUUUGUGAACAGGUGCUCUUGCUUUGCAUCACUAGCGUUGACAGUAGGUGUCCCAGUAAGAAUGUCAUUGUGUCCUAUAAGCUACCCUGCCAAAGGCUAUUAUUAACUCUGAAGUGACACACAGAAGAGGUCUGAUCACUUGCAGAGGUUACCAAGUAGAAAUGAGUCUCCGCUUUGGAUUAGUUCAACAUUCCUAAAAAGAAAACCUAGUUCAAGAGCCUGGAAAAAUGAGAGGACAAAUUCUGAAUUGAAUUACACUGUUGUAAGUCCAGAGGGACACCACUGAUUUCAGUGGAGUUGCUCCAGGUUCACACCACCAUAACCGUUCAAAAUCUAAUCCUAUUCUAGUUAUUUUAUUUUAUGGACAACCCUCCUCCCCCACCCCGCCAGCCACUUUGUUUUAAAAAUGUAAUUAACAUAAUUUUUGCAGUAAAAGUGAACUAUAGUCACAUAAAUGCAUUGGUAUUAAAUUUGAAAUCUGUUUUGCUUUGAAUUAGCUGUGCAUUUAAAGACCUUUUCCUGGUUUGACAUACUAUUAUGGGGGAUCAAUUAUUUUAUUUCUAAGAGGCUCUGUAUAAUAAGGAGCUAAGCUCAAGAUAAUAUUUGCUUAUGGUAAAGGGUAAUGCCACUGAGUAAGGUUAAAAAAAACGGAUGUUUAUAAACCUUUAAAAUGGUUUCUGCUCUGCUCUUGCAGAUUAUACCUGUGAGAAUAUAAUAGGUUUUCACUGU
RNAcentral lists this long non-coding RNA (1593 nucleotides) under Chrysemys picta bellii (western painted turtle). Its description in RNAcentral is "lncRNA (ENSCPBG00000012965.1)". Lineage: Eukaryota; Metazoa; Chordata; Testudines; Emydidae. The record is from RNAcentral.